UACGGAGGGUGCAAGCGUUAUCCGGAUUUACUGGGUUUAAAGGGUGUGUAGGUGGAUAUUUAAGUCAGAGGUGAAAUCUCCGGGCUCAACCCGGAAACUGCCUUUGAUACUAUUUAUCUUGAAUUUUGUUGAGGUUGGCAGAAUAUAUCAUGUAGCGGUGAAAUGCAUAGAUAUGAUAUAGAAUACCGAUUGCGUAGGCAGCUGGCUGAACAAAUAUUGACGCUGAGCCACGAAAGCGUGGGUAGCGAACAGG
This 253-nucleotide ribosomal RNA is filed under the name uncultured bacterium. RNAcentral describes it as "partial 16S ribosomal RNA". It matches the Rfam family "Bacterial small subunit ribosomal RNA", at positions 524 to 776 of the family's 1533-position model. The record is from RNAcentral.